GGUGGGUCUCGGGUGACACACCCCAGAAUCAGGCUCCCUCAUCUCUGGUUCUGGGUAGGUCACCUGAGAACCGCA
Non-coding RNA from Myotis davidii, 75 nucleotides. Lineage: Eukaryota; Metazoa; Chordata; Mammalia; Chiroptera; Vespertilionidae. The record is from Rfam.